Pygocentrus nattereri (red-bellied piranha) is the source of this 346-nucleotide long non-coding RNA. RefSeq lists it as uncharacterized. NCBI's taxonomy places the organism in Eukaryota, Metazoa, Chordata, Actinopteri, Characiformes, Serrasalmidae. The record is from RefSeq and is a predicted model, not a curated record. The transcript has 3 exons.
UCCUGCACAACCGCCUUGUCGCCAUGUUUGUGUAUGUUUGUGUUUUUUGGGUGGCGAGGAAGAGCGCCGCCAGUGGCCAGCGCAGGAACUGACCCUCAGCCGCCGCUCAGCUACAUCACUUCUCAAGGUCUGUCUGUCUGCCCUGCGAUGGGCUGGCGGCCUGUCCGGGGUGUAUCCUGCCUUCCGCCCGAUGACCGCUGGGAUGGGCUCCAACAGGGACCCUGAGGGAGAAGCGGAUGGAUAUGCUGCGAAGUGUGAAGCAGAAAUUAGCUGCUUGUAAUAGAAACACUCAGAUAUUUUGAUAUGGCGUGGUGGGUAGCGCUGUCACCUCACAGCGAGGAGGGCC